UGUGUGUGUGUGUGUGUGAGAGAGAGUGAGGCAGAGAGAGAGAGAACGCGCGCUGAGCCAAGUGACGUGAGAAAACGGCAUAUCGAGUCAUAUCAUGAUUUUUAAACGUUUUAAACGUUAAUGUUGUUUAUUGAGAAACCUACUCCCCUUUCUCCCAGCUGAUACUAGUGAAACGACUCAACCCCAGGAAGGUUGGAGAAGCCGCCUUUGAACCUCCCACAACUGUGAUAGCCCUCGCUCGCACAGCCGUACUCAUUGACUCUCAACCCCGGUGGAUUCACACCAGUAGACUGAAACAGUGCCUGACCAGAACCAGCUCAUCUGAGAAUGGAUGAAAAUUCACAAUCAAGCAGCCCUUAGGGGGCCUCCUCUUGUCUCACCUAAGCACAUACACAUAUAGAUUUUCUUGUAUUAGCCUUGAGAACACACACAAGUAACAAGCAACAACUCAUGCCCUGUCUGAU
This is a long non-coding RNA of Ictalurus punctatus (channel catfish), 464 nucleotides long. The record is from Ensembl. NCBI's taxonomy places the organism in Eukaryota, Metazoa, Chordata, Actinopteri, Siluriformes, Ictaluridae.